UGUAUUCCUCCAUCGUAUGCUGACCUUGGCAUAGCUGUCAGAGAUACUUUCCACAAAGGAUUUGGUUCAGGGUUGGUGAAACUGGAUGUGAAAAAAAAAAAGUCACGCAGUGGCAUGGAAUUCUCAACAUCUGGUUCAUCUCAUACAGACACUGGUAAAAUUACUGGGACGUUGGAGACCAAAUAUAAAUGGUGUGAUUAUGAUCUGACUUUCACAGAAAAGUAGAACACUCUGGGAACAGAACACUCUGGGAACAGAAAUCACAGUUAAAGACCAGGUUUUUCAAGGUUUGAAACUGACAUUAGAUACUACCUUCUCACCAAACACAGGAGAGAAAAGUGAUAAGAUCAAGUCCUGUUACAAGGAGAAUAUAUACACUUUGGUUGUGAUGUUGACUUUUAUUUUUCAGGACUUCAAAUCCAUGGUUUGGCUGUCUUUGGUGAUGAGGCUGGCUUGCUGGGUACCAGAUGACCUUUGACAGUGUCAAAUCAAAGCUGACAAGGAAUAACUUCUCGCUGGGCUAUACAGGACUGGAGACUUUCAACUACACAUUAAUGUCAAUGAUGGGACAGAAUAUGGAGAAUCAAUUUAUCAGAAAGUAUGUGAAAAUCUUGACACUUCAGUGCAUUGUACUUGGACAUCAGGUACCAACUGCACUCAUUUUCGCAUUGUAGCUAAAUAUCGGUUGGAUCCCACUGCUUCUAUUUCUGCAAAAGUCAACAACUCUAGUUAACUGGAGUGAGCUACACUCAGAUACUGAGCCGAACAAAUACUGUCGACUCUGGUAGAUAGAAAGAGCACUAAUGCGGGAGGCCACAAACUUGGGCUUGCCUGGAGUUGGGAGCUUAGUCCAGCUGAAAGAAACCUUCAGGAUAUCAGAAGAUUUGACCGUAGUAUAUUUUCAAAGUGACCAGCAGGGCUCCCCACCACCCAACAAAAAAAGGUGAUCAAAACUAAG
This 958-nucleotide long non-coding RNA is filed under the name Homo sapiens (human). Its description in RNAcentral is "non-protein coding lnc-NRIP1-12:1". The record is from RNAcentral. Lineage: Eukaryota; Metazoa; Chordata; Mammalia; Primates; Hominidae.